This is a long non-coding RNA of Saimiri boliviensis boliviensis (Bolivian squirrel monkey), 963 nucleotides long. RefSeq lists it as uncharacterized. Lineage: Eukaryota; Metazoa; Chordata; Mammalia; Primates; Cebidae. The record is from RefSeq and is a predicted model, not a curated record.
GCCGGCUCCGCCCCUACCCCCCGCCGGAGGAGAUGGUUUCUCCCACCGGCAAGCGGGGAGGCGGGGCGGCCGGCUGCCACCUGGGCCGGGGCGCGUCCUCGGCACCUGGGCCCGCGGAGGGAAGCAAAAUGCCUUGCUCUAUGGGCACCAAACCACCACCACCUCUACCAAACCUUUCUCGGGGAAGCAGAAGGGGCGCUUGUGCCGUGUGAGGAAGCGACAGAGGCUCCUCCUGCCCCUGGAGACUUCAGGCCAACGGAGCACCAGCUCUCUUCGUCCUCGCAAUGGCCCGAGUGCAGGCAAAACACAGUCAUUUGGAUUUAUCUGAAAGGAGCUUUGGGAUAUAAAUAGGUUCAGGCCCCGCUGCUCUGUCCUUCCAGGCCAGCCUCCUGAUUGAAACUGAGCUGCUUCCGGGUAGGCUUGCUUCUGGUUGCCGGUCCCAUGCUGUGUUCGGAUGGGCUCUGUGACAGGUUUGGAUGUUUUCUAUCACUGAAUAAAACUUUCCACUUUGGAACAUGUUUUCUGCUCUCUGCUGUCUCAUCUAAGUCCUGCAGCAACUAUGAAGUAGGCCCAUUUUAUGGAGUGAAAAAGCGAGGCACAGAGUAUUUGCCCAAAGUCAUAAAGUCAAGUCACCGAAGCAUCGUAAUGUGUGAAGUGAACAGUAUAAUAAUAUGACUGAAUCACAGUGGGAAUCCAGUCACGCUUUUCUCUUUCCCUAAUCCCACUAAGCCACACUUUUAGGGGCUUACAAACCAUUUCUUAUUGCCAAGCCCUCUACUCUACCCUAUCCUUUGAUAAAUCAGAGCCUAGCCUCUGAUAACAGAAAUAAUUUAUUUGUCUUGAUGUAGAGAGAUGAAGUUGUGACCCUGAGUGACAGUCAUGACAGAACAAAACCACAAGACCAGACCACAUUUGUGGAUAAAUAUAUUAGCAAAUAAAUACAUUUCUCAACGUAGUGCCUGA